AACGAAGAAGGCUCUGGUUACCUGCACUCUGUGAGUUGCUUCAGAAUAACUUCGAUUAUUGGGUUGCUCAUAAUGUGGUAUGGAAUAUGCUGGCCUGUGCUUAUUCGACAUCUGAAAUGGUUGCUGAUGCUCUUUUUGUUCUAUCCAAGAUGAAAGAUUUGAAUCUUCAAGUUUCAAUAACGACAUAUAAUAGUGUGUUGCUCUGCUUUACUGAUGUUUACAAUGAAAUAAAGGCUUCCCAAAGUGAAUACACAAAUUCUAUCCUUAUCAAUGGUCUAUGCAGACCGAUCUUGGUGCGAGAAUCUGGAACUUCUGUUGUUUGCUUCAAUUUCAGAUUGUUGAAAAUUCUCUUAUUACUCACGCACAUU
This is a long non-coding RNA of Ipomoea nil (Japanese morning glory), 368 nucleotides long. RefSeq lists it as uncharacterized. The transcript is spliced from 3 exons. NCBI's taxonomy places the organism in Eukaryota, Viridiplantae, Streptophyta, Magnoliopsida, Solanales, Convolvulaceae. The record is from RefSeq and is a predicted model, not a curated record.